This 496-nucleotide ribosomal RNA is filed under the name uncultured bacterium. Its description in RNAcentral is "partial 16S ribosomal RNA". It matches the Rfam family "Bacterial small subunit ribosomal RNA", at positions 30 to 523 of the family's 1533-position model. The record is from RNAcentral.
AUUGAACGCUGGCGGCAUGCUUUACACAUGCAAGUCGAACGGUAGAGGGGGCAACCCCUUGAGAGUGGCGAACGGGUGAGUAAUACAUCGGAACGUGCCCAGUCGUGGGGGAUAACGCAGCGAAAGCUGUGCUAAUACCGCAUACGAUCUCUGGAUGAAAGCGGGGGACCGAAAGGCCCCGCGCGAUUGGAGCGGCCGAUGUCAGAUUAGGUAGUUGGUGGGGUAAAGGCCUACCAAGCCAACGAUCUGUAGCUGGUCUGAGAGGACGACCAGCCACACUGGGACUGAGACCCGGCCCAGACUCCUACGGGAGGCAGCAGUGGGGAAUUUUGGACAAUGGGCGCAAGCCUGAUCCAGCAAUGCCGCGUGCAGGAAGAAGGCCUUCGGGUUGUAAACUGCUUUUGUACGGAACGAAACGGUCUGGGUUAAUACCCUGGGCUAAUGACGGUACCGUAAGAAUAAGCACCGGCUAACUACGUGCCAGCCGCCGCCGUAA